Molecule: unclassified non-coding RNA, 395 nt
Filed under: Hevea brasiliensis (rubber tree)
Lineage: Eukaryota; Viridiplantae; Streptophyta; Magnoliopsida; Malpighiales; Euphorbiaceae
Source: RNAcentral
GAUGAAGCUGUUGAAACUGCAAAACAAUUGGCAAUCCAGGAAGGUUUACUGGUUGGAAUAUCUUCUGGAGCUGCUGCUGCUGCUGCAAUGAAGGUUGGAAAGAGACCAGAAAAUGCAGGGAAGCUGAUUGCAGUUGUUUUCCCAAGCUUCGGUGAGCGAUACCUGUCCUCAGUUCUUUUCCAGUCAAUUCGAGAAGAAUGUGAGAAGAUGCAACCUGAGCCAUGAAUACUCCCAUGUUCUAGUUUGUCUACUAGAAUAGCAAUUUUUGUCCCCAAAUUUCAUCCAAUGCAUAUGCAUACACAUAAUUAUAUGCUUCAUAAUUGAUUGAAUCUGGCUUUAAGAUUAUCCUCUUAUAGCUGGUUUUACUCAACACUAUUAUUUUACCUUGCAAGAAG